CUAUCAGAGUUAUAACUGCCGUAGACAGCAAGUACGAAAGUGUAAGAGUGAUGAACCGCUUGCCGAGGAUGAUUGAGAAUUUUUGAAUGGAUAUUCCGGUCUGCGCGUGCAGUCGGGAUUUUUUUAUGUAAAA
Regulatory RNA element from Clostridium sp. CAG:167, 133 nucleotides. It matches the Rfam family "Ribosomal protein L10 leader". From Rfam's summary of the family: This family is a putative r-protein leader autoregulatory structure found in B. subtilis and other low-GC Gram-positive bacteria. It is located in the 5' untranslated regions of mRNAs encoding ribosomal proteins L10 and L12 (rplJ-rplL). Lineage: Bacteria; Bacillati; Bacillota; Clostridia; Eubacteriales; Clostridiaceae. The record is from Rfam.